RNAcentral lists this ribosomal RNA (916 nucleotides) under uncultured bacterium. RNAcentral describes it as "bacterial SSU rRNA". It matches the Rfam family "Bacterial small subunit ribosomal RNA", at positions 26 to 938 of the family's 1533-position model. The record is from RNAcentral.
AGGAUGAACGCUAGCGGGAGGCUUAACACAUGCAAGUCGAGGGGCAGCAUUUCUAGCUUGCUAGAAGAUGGCGACCGGCGGACGGGUGCGUAACGCGUAUGCAACUUACCUUUAACUGGAAGAUAACCCAAAGAAAUUUGGACUAAUACUCCAUAAUAUCACAGAUUCGCAUGUUUUUGUGAUUAAAGCUCCGGCGGUUAGAGAUAGGCAUGCGUCUGAUUAGCUUGUUGGUGAGGUAAUGGCUCACCAAGGCGACGAUCAGUAGGGGGCCUGAGAGGGUGAUCCCCCACACUGGUACUGAGACACGGACCAGACUCCUACGGGAGGCAGCAGUGAGGAAUAUUGGUCAAUGGAGGAAACUCUGAACCAGCCAUCCCGCGUGAAGGAUGACGGCCCUAGUGGUUGUAAACUUCUUUUAUAUGGGAAUAAACCUGAGUACGUGUACUCAGCUGAAGGUACCAUACGAAUAAGGAUCGGCUAACUCCGUGCCAGCAGCCGCGGUAAUACGGAGGAUCCAAGCGUUAUCCGGAUUUAUUGGGUUUAAAGGGUCCGCAGGCGGACUAUUAAGUCAGUGGUGAAAGUCUGCAGCUUAACUGUAGAAUUGCCAUUGAUACUGAUAGUCUUGAGUGUGGUUGAAGUGGGCGGAAUAUGACAUGUAGCGGUGAAAUGCAUAGAGAUGUCAUAGAACACCGAUUGCGAAGGCAGCUCACUAAACCAUUACUGACGCUCAGGGACGAAAGCGUGGGUAGCGAACAGGAUUAGAUACCCUGGUAGUCCACGCCGUAAACGAUGAUUACUCGAUGUCGGCGAUAUAAUGUCGGUGUCUAAGCGAAAGUGUUAAGUAAUCCACCUGGGGAGUACGUUCGCAAGAAUGAAACUCAAAGGAAUUGACGGGGGCCCGCACAAGCGGUGGAGC